This 444-nucleotide ribosomal RNA is filed under the name uncultured Thermotoga sp. RNAcentral describes it as "bacterial SSU rRNA". It matches the Rfam family "Bacterial small subunit ribosomal RNA", at positions 338 to 774 of the family's 1533-position model. The record is from RNAcentral. Lineage: Bacteria; Thermotogati; Thermotogota; Thermotogae; Thermotogales; Thermotogaceae.
CCUACGGGAGGCAGCAGUGGGGAAUCUUGGACAAUGGGCGAAAGCCUGAUCCAGCGACGCCGCGUGGGGGAUGAAGCCCUUCGGGGUGUAAACCCCUGUUGCGAGGGAGGAAUAAGGCCUGGAGGAAAUGCCAGGCCGAUGACUGUACCUCGCGAGGAAGCCCCGGCUAACUACGUGCCAGCAGCCGCGGUAAUACGUAGGGGGCGAGCGUUACCCGGAUUCACUGGGCGUAAAGCGGGUGUAGGCGGCUCGGUAAGUCGGGUGUGAAAUCCCACAGCUCAACUGUGGAAUUGCGCCCGAAACUGCUGAGCUUGGGGCCGGUAGAGGGAGACGGAACUGCCGGUGUAGGGGUGAAAUCCGUAGAUAUCGGCAGGAACGCCGGUGGAGAAGCCGGUCUCCUGGGCCGCGCCCGACGCUGAGACCCGAAAGCUAGGGGAGCAAACC